ACCUUUUCAAAUCAGGGUGUCGGCGCGGCCCCCGAGGAGCGGAAAACAAUCCUUGGGAGGUAUGCGGGUGGCUUCGAGCCCACCCAUGUAUAGCUACGCAUCACGACUGCCAUCCUACUUACUUUACGAGCACCAUUCUGUUCUCCCUCGGUCGGGUGGCAACCUGCCGUUGUGGAUACCGAAUAAUACUCUUUUUGCAUCUAGCAUUACCUGUUCCGAACAACAAACAAUCUGUUAC
This 238-nucleotide unclassified non-coding RNA is filed under the name soil metagenome. RNAcentral's name for it is "partial internal transcribed spacer 1". The record is from RNAcentral.